GUCGGCUACGGAGAUGUUGUUCCAGUGACUGUGGCUGGCAAGCUGGCUGCUUCCGGCUGCAUUCUGGGCGGGAUUUUGGUCGUGGCGUUGCCCAUCACCAUCAUCUUCAACAAG
Podarcis lilfordi (Lilford's wall lizard) is the source of this 114-nucleotide non-coding RNA. NCBI's taxonomy places the organism in Eukaryota, Metazoa, Chordata, Lepidosauria, Squamata, Lacertidae. The record is from the annotation of a GenBank genome assembly.